This 441-nucleotide ribosomal RNA is filed under the name Triticum aestivum (bread wheat). Its description in RNAcentral is "partial small subunit ribosomal RNA". Lineage: Eukaryota; Viridiplantae; Streptophyta; Magnoliopsida; Poales; Poaceae. The record is from RNAcentral.
AUGAGGAUUAGCUUAUACGCUGAUGAUGCUGUGAUCUUCGCCAACCCAAUCAAAGAGAAAGUCGACUCGCUUCUGCAGCUCCUCAAUCUUUUUGAGGACGCCUCUGGUCUUCGCUUAAACCAAAACAAAUCUUCGGUGGCCAUGAUUAGGUGCAACAAUGUAGAUCUCGCUGACGUGCUGCGUAGUUUUGGCGGCUCCGUAGUAGGUUUCCCUAUGACUUACCUAGGCCUCCCGGUCUCCACUGGUAGAAUCCGUUUAGUACAUCUGCAGUUCCUUCUGGAUAGAAUUAGGGCUCGCCUUGCAGGAUGGAAGGGUAGACUCAUGAACCUUGCGGGACGCAGAAUCCUCGUCCGUAGCGUGCUGUCAACGCUGCCAACAUAUGCAAUGACAGUAAUGAGGCUCCCAAAAAAGCUGUUGAAGGACAUUGACAAGGCCAGGUGA